This 497-nucleotide ribosomal RNA is filed under the name uncultured bacterium. RNAcentral's name for it is "partial 16S ribosomal RNA". It matches the Rfam family "Bacterial small subunit ribosomal RNA", at positions 28 to 507 of the family's 1533-position model. The record is from RNAcentral.
GAUGAACGCUGGCGGCGUGCCUAAUACAUGCAAGCCGAGCGAACGGACGAGAAGCUUGCUUUUCUGAUGUUAGCGGCGGACGGGUGAGUAACACGUGGAUAACCUACCUAUAAGACUGGGGUAACUUCGGGAAACCGGAGCUAAUACCGGAUAAUAUUUUGAACCGCAUGGUUCAAAAGUGAAAGACGGUCUUGCUGUCACUUAUAGAUGGAUCCGCGCUGCAUUAGCUAGUUGGUAAGGUAACGGCUUACCAAGGCAACGAUGCAUAGCCGACCUGAGAGGGUGAUCGGCCACACUGGAACUGAGACACGGUCCAGACUCCUACGGGAGGCAGCAGUAGGGAAUCUUCCGCAAUGGGCGAAAGCCUGACGGAGCAACGCCGCGUGAGUGAUGAAGGUCUUCGGAUCGUAAAACUCUGUUAUUAGGGAAGAACAUAUGUGUAAGUAACUGUGCACAUCUUGACGGUACCUAAUCAGAAAGCCACGGCUAACUACGUG